GAUGAACGCUGGCGGCGUGCCUAAUACAUGCAAGUCGAGCGAACAGACGAGGAGCUUGCUCCUCUGACGUUAGCGGCGGACGGGUGAGUAACACGUGGAUAACCUACCUAUAAGACUGGGAUAACUUCGGGAAACCGGAGCUAAUACCGGAUAAUAUAUUGAACCGCAUGGUUCAAUAGUGAAAGACGGUUUUGCUGUCACUUAUAGAUGGAUCCGCGCCGCAUUAGCUAGUUGGUAAGGUAACGGCUUACCAAGGCAACGAUGCGUAGCCGACCUGAGAGGGGGAUCGGCCACACUGGAACUGGGACACGGUCCAGACUCCUACGGGAGGCAGCAGUAGGGAAUCUUCCGCAAUGGGCGAAAGCCUGACGGAGCAACGCCGCGUGAGUGAUGAAGGUCUUCGGAUCGUAAAACUCUGUUAUUAGGGAAGAACAAAUGUGUAAGUAACUAUGCACGUCUUGACGGUACCGAAUCAGAAAGCCACGGCUAACUACGUG
RNAcentral lists this ribosomal RNA (497 nucleotides) under uncultured bacterium. RNAcentral's name for it is "partial 16S ribosomal RNA". It matches the Rfam family "Bacterial small subunit ribosomal RNA", at positions 28 to 507 of the family's 1533-position model. The record is from RNAcentral.